CUACGGGUCGCUCCAGUGGGGAAUAUUGGACAAUGGGGGAAACCCUGAUCCAGCCAUGCCGCGUGUGUGAAGAAGGCCUUUUGGUUGUAAAGCACUUUAAGCAGUGAAGAAGACCUAACGGUUAAUACCCGUUAGCGAUGACAUUAGCUGCAGAAUAAGCAUCGGCUAACUCUGUGCCAGCAGCCGCGGUAAUACAGAGGUGCAAGCGUUAAUCGGAAUUACUGGGCGUAAAGCGAGCGUAGGUGGCUUGAUAAGUCAGAUGUGAAAUCCCCGGGCUUAACCUGGGAACUGCAUCUGAUACUGUUAAGCUAGAGUAGGUGAGAGGGAAGUAGAAUUCCAGGUGUAGCGGUGAAAUGCGUAGAGAUCUGGAGGAAUACCGAUGGCGAAGGCAGCUUCCUGGCAUCAUACUGACACUGAGGCUCGAAAGCGUGGGUAGCAAACAGGAUUAGAUACCCCUGUAGUC
Molecule: ribosomal RNA, 463 nt
Filed under: uncultured bacterium
Lineage: Bacteria
Description: partial 16S ribosomal RNA
Rfam family: Bacterial small subunit ribosomal RNA
Source: RNAcentral